CGGAUUGCAGCCUGCAACUCGGCUGCAUGAAGCUGGAAUCGCUAGUAAUCGCGGAUCAGAAUGCCGCGGUGAAUACGUUCCCGGGUCUUGUACACACCGCCCGUCACACCAUGGGAGUCGGGAAUGCCCGAAGUCAGUGACCCAACCGAAAGGGGGGAGCUGCCGAAGGCAGGCCUGGUAACUGGGGUGAAGUCGUAACAAGGUACC
This 207-nucleotide ribosomal RNA is filed under the name uncultured bacterium. RNAcentral describes it as "partial 16S ribosomal RNA". It matches the Rfam family "Bacterial small subunit ribosomal RNA", at positions 1294 to 1500 of the family's 1533-position model. The record is from RNAcentral.